This 270-nucleotide non-coding RNA is filed under the name unclassified sequences. RNAcentral's name for it is "Clostridiales-3 RNA". It matches the Rfam family "Clostridiales-3 RNA". The record is from Rfam by way of RNAcentral.
UAGUAGGCUGAUGGAUUGAGAGAUGAAGGCCGAGAGGCUGGAUGGAAGUCCGGAAAAAUGCGGGAGUAGGUAUGUGGCGUAAGGAUAAUAAUCCAUGAAGGGCGAGAGGUUCGUCCUGGUUCCCGCAAGGCAGACAGGGGAGAUAGUGCUUCUCUUAUGAGAAGGGCGUCGUGAACACAGUUUAAGUGGCUCGUCUGUAGCUCCCGGAGCUGAGUACACCUUUACGUAUACGGGGCGAUGAGGGGUUGAAAAGACCGGCGUAUACCUUAA